UGAUCGGAUCGUAGGUGACCCGGAGGCGCGUUGAAGCUCGGCGAUGAGGCCUGCAACCAAUCGUGGCCGCACGAUUGGGUUGAAGCCUGACAGAGAUGUUUCAUAGCCCUUGAUUUUAAUGAAGACGAUUUUGUGUGUACAUUUUUCUUGGUGUAUAGAGGUGGAAGGCUCUCAGUGGGGGAAGUUUUAUUGGGUGGAUCUAGUAUAAUUUGAAGUGUUCCAUUAUAGUAGAGAUCAGUAAAAUGCUUGUGUGGUAGACUAAUUAAUGAGGAUAGAAAUCAUGUUGGUUUCUGCAUUGGG
RNAcentral lists this long non-coding RNA (300 nucleotides) under Sorghum bicolor (sorghum). RNAcentral describes it as "long non-coding RNA (SBIC_LNC013208)". The record is from RNAcentral. Lineage: Eukaryota; Viridiplantae; Streptophyta; Magnoliopsida; Poales; Poaceae.